GAGUUGCCGAUGGAGGAUGGUUGCCGAUGGAGGGGCUGUUGGACAUGACUAAGUCUAUAGGUGGUAAUGUGUCUGUGCCGAUGGCUACGACGAGGGAAUCUGCCGAUGAUAUGGAGGAAGAGUCUGGAAACUGCCGAUCGGCUUGUGGAGGUGUUUCUGUUUGUCACGGGGGGAUAGUUUUAUGUUUUUCUUAGUUAUUC
RNAcentral lists this long non-coding RNA (200 nucleotides) under Sorghum bicolor (sorghum). Its description in RNAcentral is "long non-coding RNA (SBIC_LNC006639)". The record is from RNAcentral. Lineage: Eukaryota; Viridiplantae; Streptophyta; Magnoliopsida; Poales; Poaceae.